GCAUAUCAAUAAGCGGAGGAAAAGAAACCAACAGGGAUUGCCCUAGUAACGGCGAGUGAAGCGGCAACAGCUCAAAUUUGAAAUCUGGCUUCGGCCCGAGUUGUAAUUUGCAGAGGAAGCUUUAGGCGCGGCACCUCCUGAGUCCCCUGGAACGGGGCGCCACAGAGGGUGAGAGCCCCGUAUAGUUGGAUGCCUAGCCUGUGUAAAGCUCCUUCGACGAGUCGAGUAGUUUGGGAAUGCUGCUCAAAAUGGGAGGUAAAUUUCUUCUAAAGCUAAAUACCGGCCAGAGACCGAUAGCGCACAAGUAGAGUGAUCGAAAGAUGAAAAGCACUUUGAAAAGAGGGUUAAAUAGCACGUGAAAUUGUUGAAAGGGAAGCGCUUGUGACCAGACUUGCGCCGGGCUGAUCAUCCGGUGUUCUCACCGGUGCACUCUGCCCGGCUCAGCCCAGCAUCGGUUCUCGCGGGGGGAUAAAGGCCCUGGGAACGUAGCUCCUCCGGGAGUGUUAUAGCCCGGGGCGUAAUGCCCUCGCGGGGACCGAGGUUCGCGCUCUGCAAGGAUG
Molecule: ribosomal RNA, 560 nt
Filed under: Acrophialophora fusispora
Lineage: Eukaryota; Fungi; Ascomycota; Sordariomycetes; Sordariales; Chaetomiaceae
Description: partial 28S ribosomal RNA
Rfam family: Eukaryotic large subunit ribosomal RNA
Source: RNAcentral